GACGAACGCUGGCGGCGUGCCUAAUACAUGCAAGUCGAACGCUGAAGGAGGAGCUUGCUUCUCCGGAUGAGUUGCGAACGGGUGAGUAACGCGUAGGUAACCUGCCUGGUAGCGGGGGAUAACUAUUGGAAACGAUAGCUAAUACCGCAUAAGAGUAGAUGUAGAACGAAAUUUGAUUAAAAGGUGAAAUUGAAUGAAUAGUAGAGUGAGUUGAGUUGUAUUAGCUAGUUGGUGAGGUAACGGCUCAACAAGGCAACGAUACAUAGCCGACCUGAGAGGGUGAUCGGCCACACUGGGACUGAGACACGGCCCAGACUCCUACGGGAGGCAGCAGGAGGUAAUCUUCAUCAAUAUACUUAAUUCUCACCAAUCAACCCCACAGGAAUGAAUAAGGGUUUCGGAUCGUAAAGCUCUGUUGUAAGAGAAGAACAAAUGUUAACAUUUAAAAUUCCCACUGUAACUUUCUCUUACCAGAAACAGACGGCUAACUACUUG
Molecule: ribosomal RNA, 495 nt
Filed under: uncultured bacterium
Lineage: Bacteria
Description: partial 16S ribosomal RNA
Rfam family: Bacterial small subunit ribosomal RNA
Source: RNAcentral